GUUAGGAUGGCAGAGCCCGGCAAGUGCGAAAGGCCUAAGCCCUUUUGACAGAGGUCCAAAUCCUCUUCCUAACU
RNAcentral lists this transfer RNA (74 nucleotides) under Caulophryne pelagica (fanfin anglerfish). RNAcentral describes it as "tRNA-Leu". It matches the Rfam family "tRNA". Rfam says of the family: Transfer RNA (tRNA) molecules are approximately 80 nucleotides in length. Their secondary structure includes four short double-helical elements and three loops (D, anti-codon, and T loops). Lineage: Eukaryota; Metazoa; Chordata; Actinopteri; Lophiiformes; Caulophrynidae. The record is from RNAcentral.